CCACAGCUCACAUCUUGUCAUGCUCGUACAGAAGCUCUGAGGCUUGCUGGAUGGACGUUCUAAGACUGAAGAGUUGCAGAACGGUCAAACCCAGUCCAAAUGAAUGGCAAAUUUUGGUAUUGAGGACAAUGGAGUGCACGGACAACCCAGAUGAUAUGUGGCCCACUUCCUGUGACCAACCUUAGCCUAAGUGAGAGGAAAGAGAAGAGAGGCACCUCUGUUUGACUGGGUGGUGGACGUCACACUGAUGUGUUGUGACAGCGGGCACCCUGGCUGGCAGGCUCCCAGCAUGCGCCACCAUAUUGCCCCGGUCCCCAGGGGAACGGGGAUCAGCGCGCCAGCCUUGGCAGGAAGUGAUAAUAGGCACAACACGUCUUGCUUUCGCACAUUAAGGCGAGUGAAGGGUGACAGAUCGGAACUGUGAUACUGCCAUGUGGAAGAGGAGAAAAAAGAAAAACACAAGAGGAGCAGAGGAAGGCCGUUCGCCAUGCGGCCUGGGCUGACUCGACUGCCCUGCUGCUGCCAACUUCAGCACGGACAUGCAGUCACAAUCAUGUGCUCUUUAACAAGAGGCUGAGAGGGGUAACUGACCAGGACAGAAGUUCCUGAAACAAACCCUUCAGGGUUCAUCCACUGUUCUUCAGCAAGUGCUAAACAGAUCAAUGCUUAUAAUAUUUAAAGAGUCCUAGAUGAUUUGGUAUGAUGGAAUAAAGCACAUUGUAUCAAUAGCUAUGAGGUUACCAGUUCGAGUCCCUGGAUGUUACACUAUUUGGCCCUAUACUAAGUUACAAGUAUGAGAAAGAUGUUAUGUAAAGCUCCUGGUUGGGUUGUGAAACCUUCUUGACACCAGGGUGCCAAUCCAUCAUAUGGAAAUCCCAACAGGACUUUUACUGGUACAAGGCACCAACACUAAACACACAAAGGAAACUGAUGUGCACGAGCUAUGUCAUAGAUAGUCCAAAGUCUUGAAUAACCUCCACUGAUGUCAUGAAGAUAACGCCAUCCACUUUUUAGCUGUGUGACUAGCGUAAAGGCGGCAAAUACGGCUAUUAAGGUGAGUGAAGGGUCACUGCUUAUAAAAAAUAAAUAAAAACAAAUAAAUAAUGGUAAAUAGUUGACAACAAGUUUCCAUAAGAAUCUCCAUUUGUGGAGAUAUGCUUUUUCUGUUGAGUUUUGUUUCUGUGUUUGGUUUUCAUUAUGAGCCUAUCCAGGACAAUAUCACUAAUCACUAAAUCUCACCAAACUAAUCCUGUCCCAGCUCUGUACUCUACUUGACUGGCACUCCUCUGCUGCCUGCUGCCCUUCUCGUCUCCUAGUCUCCCUCUGCCCCUUCACCCCUGGCCCAUGCUGUGUUUGGUAAAGUACUCUGCUGUGUGUGUCCUUCCAUCAGUGGGGUGAUGUGCAUCCAGUACCCAGAAUUUAGAUUCCUGCUGAACUCUCUACUCUGCUCCAACCCCAGCUUUCCCCCCCCCCCCAGCUUUCUUUGGUGACAUGUAGUGCUUAUUAUUGCUUCCAUUAUAAGAGCAAAUAAGCUUUUCUACUUGCUGCUCCUGUACUAAAAACGUUUAACAGUGUAGCAGAUAUAUUUAAACCUGUAAUCUAGAUAGAUAUUUACUACGCAAUUCAAAUUUGCACUGAAAUAAUAGAUAAGAUUAAAAAAAAAAAAGACUUGGGACUUAGAAGACAAAGGGAAUAAAUCAAAUAAACAAACAAACAAAAAUACAGCCAUGCCCAGACCCACCUGACUUGUCAUAAACAAUAAUUGAUUUGCAAUCUCAAUUAUUUAAAUGUAUUAGUAUUCUUUUCUAGGCCCAGAACUAUCCUGUGCUGAUGGAGGGUUGGUUCUCUUUUUAAGUCUUGUUCUCUCAAGGUUUCUUCCUUCAGUCAAGGGAGUUCUUCCUUGCCACUGUCACCGUUUGCUUGCUCAUAAGAAGACUAGUCCUGAUUCCUGUAAAGCUGCUUUGAGACAAUGUCUAUUGUAAAAAAAGAUGUACAUUAAUAACAUUUAAAUUGAUAAUUGAACUUCUUUUUGUUGCUGCUGCAGGUUACAAAAUAAAUACCGAUUUGGUGCUGCAGUAAACCAACUUAAACACUACUCUUUAUUGUUGACAAGUCUAUCUUUAGGUGGGUUGAUGUCUGCAUCAGAUGGCUUUCUGGGUCCAGCAGAAGAACAUCCACUUCUCUGAGUGUGGAACUGGAUCUCUGGGUGGUAAGAAUGGGUGUUCUUGUGGUCUGCCUGGCCAUCUAGUGGAGU
Electrophorus electricus (electric eel) is the source of this 2254-nucleotide long non-coding RNA. RefSeq lists it as uncharacterized. The record is from RefSeq and is a predicted model, not a curated record. Lineage: Eukaryota; Metazoa; Chordata; Actinopteri; Gymnotiformes; Gymnotidae.